Non-coding RNA from Pelobates cultripes (western spadefoot toad), 104 nucleotides. Lineage: Eukaryota; Metazoa; Chordata; Amphibia; Anura; Pelobatidae. The record is from the annotation of a GenBank genome assembly.
GCCGCGAGGCAAACAAGGCAUUUGCCUUGGGCGGCUUUUUUGCCGCCCCCUGAAAAAUGCCCCCAAAUGCCCAGGGCAAAUGCCUUGUUAGCCUCGCGGCUAAC